Molecule: long non-coding RNA, 1651 nt
Organism: Astatotilapia calliptera (eastern happy)
Lineage: Eukaryota; Metazoa; Chordata; Actinopteri; Cichliformes; Cichlidae
Source: Ensembl
GCUUGAGCUCUGAGAAGCUGUCUGUGACAGGAAAUGGUGUGUGACAGGAAGUUACAUGCCCGUAAAAGGAAGUCUGAGAGAGAAGUGUGUGUGGGCAAACUGCAGAGUGUGUGCAUGAAAUAAGAGUGUAUUGUUUUUACAUUAAGGUUUAGUAGAACUAAAGUAGAAUGUUAUAAACAAACAGAUGAAUAAAGGUGGACUUCUCUCAACCUGGAAUUUUGAGUACGGCGCCAAAACCAAUAGAGUAGCAUAAUGGGGAGAAGACAGGCCAGAUUUUGGCUUAAAGUUUCACAGCUUGACCUCACACUUGUCCCCCAUCCUGAGAAGAAGCUCAAAGGACAGUUAAUCUCCGGAUGAAGACCGACAGAACAUCGCGGAAUUAAUAGCAGGCAAAACUCAGUGCAACACUGAAACCGAAACUGACGGGACCAGCAGCGGCAUGGAAAAGCAGACGACGCAACAUGUACUGUAAAUUACAGGCUGGGCAGUUGAACAGUGGAAUAAUGAGCUGUGGAAAGCACUGGACACUGAUUGUCAGAUUUGCCAUGCUUGGAGUUGAAAGAGACGAGUGAAAGGAUCAACAGAGAAGAAGAAACCACGUGAUGAAACAUGCACGGUGAACAGCAGGCUGGUAAGAACAGUGCGACAUAACUGUUUAAAGGCACUGAAUGUGAUAUUUUGCCAGGCUGGAUUUAAUCCAAAAGGAAAAUACUGAAGAGAAACAGAGAAGAAACGGACUGUGUUUGCUGGAGAAUUCAAGACAACAAAAAGAACACUGAGAGAAAAGGGACCAGUGAGAAGUGAAGCCUGAGUUCGAUUGUGAGAAUACAGGGUGGAAUUGGACUGAAAGUGAAGCCUGAACUCAUGAUGGUUUAGGGAUGUCCACCGUCAUAAACAAAGAGUUGUGUUUCUUUAGGUACGAAACAGAUCUGGAUCAUUUGUCCACAUUCAGCGGUCGGAAGAAACCUAUAGGUUAACUUGACUGGACAUGCCAAGAAAAGGAAGCAUAGCAGAGACGAGAAGUGCAGACUUGGGUAGGAAUUUAGAGGUUAGUGAUUAUAUGAUGUCGUAAGGGGUCUUAUGCUGAAUUUAAGUAUGUUAAAGAGCAUAAGGGGGUGAAUUUUGUGUGCAAAUUGUGUGGUUUUAAUGAGAUUUUUGGUGUACUGAGGAGGUGCGAAUUAUGUGGUGGCAAAACUUUUGUGUUUGGGGUUGUUGAUGGGUGGAUUCUGUCAGUAAGGGUUGGGUUGUUGCUGUUUUUGUUUUUAAUAGAGGGAGUUUUAGGAAACAUGGACAUGUCUGAGGGGCCCAUUAUUUUAUAACAGUGCACUUAAAGAAAACCUGUCAGGUGAUUUUGUUUUGUGUUUUGUGAGCUAAUAAUCAGCUCUAUUUUUUCUCAUUUUUGUUCUAAGCAGGCCUGCAACAGCGCUGACAGAUUCUCGGGAAGUGCAAACAUAAGGGCUUUCCAGAUUGGCUUUUACCAGAGAAAAUUUCUGUUUUGUAAACUGGGGUUAGAUUAUGGGGUUAUAGUAUAUUGUUGUGAGGAUGCCAAAUAAAAGGGAAACAUUUUUGAUGUAACUCAGUUACCAUUAAUUAGAGGAACACAUGACUGAUAAUUGUUCUGUUUUAAGUUUAUUUUUAUGACAUAGAUGGG